RNAcentral lists this small RNA (804 nucleotides) under Pongo abelii (Sumatran orangutan). Its description in RNAcentral is "retained intron". Lineage: Eukaryota; Metazoa; Chordata; Mammalia; Primates; Hominidae. The record is from RNAcentral.
AGAAGGCUUUUGAAGUCAAGGGUGAUGGCUGUGUCUUUUGAAUUCCUCCCAUAGUUAUUCUUGUUGAAACACUCUGGGGAAUAGACAUAAUUCUCAGACAGCAGAGUGUUGAUGUCUAGGGAAAAUGUUUACAAUCUGAAAAAUUACCUUGGCAGGCUGAGGACAAAGCCACAAAAUUGUAACUUGUUUUUCGGCUUUCUUCAGCCUCACCUCUACCAGAGAAUUUCACUUUGGAGUUUUCUUAUCUGUAAAAGGGGAAGGGUUGAAGUACAUUGUCUGUCAGCUCCCACCCAACCCUGAAAGGCUAAUUUUCUUUAAUUCUUUCCCUUAAUCUUUCCAUUGAAAUUAAAACUGAUGAGCUGUUUCUGGAUCUUGAAUUAGGAAUUUUUCAUUUCUUUGUAAUUCUUUCCCUGACGCAUUUUGCAGUUGUCCCCGGACACGAUGAGGCGAGUGGUACGACAGAGCAAGUUUCGGCAUGUAUUUGGGCAAGCGGUGAAAAAUGACCAGUGCUAUGAUGACAUCCGGGUUUCUCGUGUGACCUGGGAUAGUUCCUUUUGUGCUGUCAAUCCCAGAUUUGUUGCCAUAAUCAUAGAGGCAAGUGGGGGAGGAGCGUUCCUUGUCCUCCCUCUGCACAAGACUGGUCGAAUUGACAAAUCCUACCCUACAGUAUGUGGCCACACAGGACCAGUGCUGGACAUAGACUGGUGCCCACAUAACGAUCAGGUGAUUGCCAGCGGUUCAGAGGACUGCACGGUCAUGGUAUGGCAGAUCCCAGAAAAUGGACUCACCCUUUCCCUGACUGAA